Molecule: ribosomal RNA, 509 nt
Filed under: uncultured bacterium
Lineage: Bacteria
Description: bacterial SSU rRNA
Rfam family: Bacterial small subunit ribosomal RNA
Source: RNAcentral
CUACGUGCCAGCAGCCGCGGUAAUACGUAGGGGGCAAGCGUUAUCCGGAUUUACUGGGUGUAAAGGGAGCGUAGACGGAAUGGCAAGUCUGAAGUGAAAUACCCGGGCUCAACCUGGGAACUGCUUUGGAAACUGUUGUUCUAGAGUGUUGGAGAGGUAAGUGGAAUUCCUGGUGUAGCGGUGAAAUGCGUAGAUAUCAGGAAGAACACCGGAGGCGAAGGCGGCUUACUGGACAAUAACUGACGUUGAGGCUCGAAGGUGCGGGUAUCGAACAGGAUUAGAUACCCUGGUAGUCCGCACGGUAAACGAUGGAUACCCGCUGUCCGGCCCGUACGGUCUGGGCGGCCAAGCGAAAGCGUUAAGUAUCCCACCUGGGGAGUACGCCGGCAACGGUGAAACUCAAAGGAAUUGACGGGGGCCCGCACAAGCGGAGGAACAUGUGGUUUAAUUCGAUGAUACGCGAGGAACCUUACCCGGGCUUGAACUAACGGUGACGAAUCUAGAGAUAG